UUGACCUCGAAUCAGGUAGGAAUACCCGCUGAACUUAAGCAUAUCAUAGGUCCGGAGGAAA
This 61-nucleotide ribosomal RNA is filed under the name Scolecofusariella peltigerae. RNAcentral describes it as "Scolecofusarium ciliatum partial 28S ribosomal RNA". Lineage: Eukaryota; Fungi; Ascomycota; Sordariomycetes; Hypocreales; Nectriaceae. The record is from RNAcentral.